UGCAAGUCGAACGAACUCUUCGGAGUUAGUGGCGGACGGGUGAGUAACACGUGGGAACGUGCCUUUAGGUUCGGAAUAACUCAGGGAAACUUGUGCUAAUACCGAAUGUGCCCUUCGGGGGAAAGAUUUAUCGCCUUUAGAGCGGCCCGCGUCUGAUUAGCUAGUUGGUGAGGUAAAGGCUCACCAAGGCGACGAUCAGUAGCUGGUCUGAGAGGAUGAUCAGCCACAUUGGGACUGAGACACGGCCCAAACUCCUACGGGAGGCAGCAGUGGGGAAUCUUGCGCAAUGGGCGAAAGCCUGACGCAGCCAUGCCGCGUGAAUGAUGAAGGUCUUAGGAUUGUAAAAUUCUUUCACCGGGGACGAUAAUGACGGUACCCGGAGAAGAAGCCCCGGCUAACUUCGUGCCAGCAGCCGCGGUAAUACGAAGGGGGCUAGCGUUGCUCGGAAUUACUGGGCGUAAAGGG
RNAcentral lists this ribosomal RNA (465 nucleotides) under uncultured bacterium. RNAcentral's name for it is "bacterial SSU rRNA". It matches the Rfam family "Bacterial small subunit ribosomal RNA", at positions 56 to 567 of the family's 1533-position model. The record is from RNAcentral.